This 232-nucleotide long non-coding RNA is filed under the name Mytilus galloprovincialis (Mediterranean mussel). The record is from RNAcentral. Lineage: Eukaryota; Metazoa; Mollusca; Bivalvia; Mytilida; Mytilidae.
AUAUUUUUAACUUGUAGCUGAUGACCGAUAUGGAUAAAACAUUGAUAAUCUUAUAUUUCAGCUGUAUUGUAUAUAUUGCUAUUUUUAUGCCCCCUUAUGCACCUAGAAAUACUUCAUGAAGUAUGCAAUGAGCUCAUUGUCAUUAAUUAUGUGAGAGUUGGACUUGUCAAUAUUAGUGAACUUCAGAGAACUUCCCUGAUAUGGACAAUCUAAACUUGACCAUUCCCCAUCC